RNAcentral lists this ribosomal RNA (751 nucleotides) under uncultured Enterobacter sp. RNAcentral's name for it is "bacterial SSU rRNA". It matches the Rfam family "Bacterial small subunit ribosomal RNA", at positions 10 to 752 of the family's 1533-position model. The record is from RNAcentral. Lineage: Bacteria; Pseudomonadati; Pseudomonadota; Gammaproteobacteria; Enterobacterales; Enterobacteriaceae.
AGUUUGAUCCUGGCUCAGAUUGAACGCUGGCGGCAGGCCUAACACAUGCAAGUCGAGCGGUAGCACAGAGAGCUUGCUCUCGGGUGACGAGCGGCGGACGGGUGAGUAAUGUCUGGGAAACUGCCUGAUGGAGGGGGAUAACUACUGGAAACGGUAGCUAAUACCGCAUAAUGUCGCAAGACCAAAGUGGGGGACCUUCGGGCCUCAUGCCAUCAGAUGUGCCCAGAUGGGAUUAGCUAGUAGGUGGGGUAAUGGCUCACCUAGGCGACGAUCCCUAGCUGGUCUGAGAGGAUGACCAGCCACACUGGAACUGAGACACGGUCCAGACUCCUACGGGAGGCAGCAGUGGGGAAUAUUGCACAAUGGGCGCAAGCCUGAUGCAGCCAUGCCGCGUGUAUGAAGAAGGCCUUCGGGUUGUAAAGAACUUUCAGCGAGGACGAAGGCGUUAAGGUUAAUAACCUUGGCGAUUGACGUUACUCGCAGAAGAAGCACCGGCUAACUCCGUGCCAGCAGCCGCGGUAAUACGGAGGGUGCAAGCGUUAAUCGGAAUUACUGGGCGUAAAGCGCACGCAGGCGGUCUGUUAAGUCAGAUGUGAAAUCCCCGGGCUCAACCUGGGAACUGCAUUUGAAACUGGCAGGCUUGAGUCUUGUAGAGGGGGGUAGAAUUCCAGGUGUAGCGGUGAAAUGCGUAGAGAUCUGGAGGAAUACCGGUGGCGAAGGCGGCCCCCUGGACAAAGACUGACGCUCAGGU